CCUACGGGAGGCAGCAGUGAGGAAUAUUGGUCAAUGGGCGGGAGCCUGAACCAGCCAAGUCGCGUGAGGGAAGACGGUCCUAUGGAUUGUAAACCUCUUUAGGCGGGGAGCAAUGCCGGGCACGCGUGCCCGGAGGGAGAGUACCCGCAGAAUAAGCCUCGGCUAACUCCGUGCCAGCAGCCGCGGUAAUACGGAGGAUGCGAGCGUUAUCCGGAUUUAUUGGGUUUAAAGGGUGCGUAGGCGGAUUUUUAAGUCAGCGGUAAAAUGUCCGGGCUCAACCCGGGCCGGCCGUUGAAACUGGGGAGCUUGAGUGGGCGAGAAGUAGGCGGAAUGCGUGGUGUAGCGGUGAAAUGCAUAGAUAUCACGCAGAACUCCGAUUGCGAAGGCAGCAUACCGGCGCCCGACUGACGCUGAGGCACGAAAGCGUGGGGAUCGAACAGGAUUAGAUACCCGUGUAGUC
This 460-nucleotide ribosomal RNA is filed under the name uncultured bacterium. RNAcentral describes it as "partial 16S ribosomal RNA". It matches the Rfam family "Bacterial small subunit ribosomal RNA", at positions 338 to 795 of the family's 1533-position model. The record is from RNAcentral.